Molecule: ribosomal RNA, 504 nt
Filed under: uncultured bacterium
Lineage: Bacteria
Description: bacterial SSU rRNA
Rfam family: Bacterial small subunit ribosomal RNA
Source: RNAcentral
GAUGAACGCUAGCGGGAGGCUUAACACAUGCAAGUCGAGGGGCAGCAUAGGGUAGCAAUACUCUGAUGGCGACCGGCAAACGGGUGAGUAACGCGUAUGCAACCUACCCUGUACAGGGGGAUAACCCGGAGAAAUUCGGACUAAUAUCCCGUAAUAAUAUCCGGAGGCAUCUUUGGAUAUUUAAAGUUCCGACGGUACGGGAUGGGCAUGCGUAACAUUAACUGGUUGGUAAGGUAACGGCUUACCAAGGCUAUGAUGUUUGGGGGUCCUGAGAGGGUGGUCCCCCACACUGGUACUGAGACACGGACCAGACUCCUACGGGAGGCAGCAGUGAGGAAUAUUGGUCAAUGGGCGCAAGCCUGAACCAGCCAUCCCGCGUGCAGGAAGACGGCCCUAUGGGUUGUAAACUGCUUUUCCAGGGAGAGAAACUUACGCACGUGUUGCGUGACUGACGGUACCUGGGAAUAAGCAUCGGCUAACUCCGUGCCAGCAGCCGCGUAAUCA